RNAcentral lists this transfer RNA (76 nucleotides) under Clostridiales bacterium. Its description in RNAcentral is "tRNA-Pro". It matches the Rfam family "tRNA". Rfam says of the family: Transfer RNA (tRNA) molecules are approximately 80 nucleotides in length. Their secondary structure includes four short double-helical elements and three loops (D, anti-codon, and T loops). RNAcentral also lists the same sequence under 1 other name. Lineage: Bacteria; Bacillati; Bacillota; Clostridia; Eubacteriales. The record is from RNAcentral.
CGGGGUAUAGCGCAGUUGGUAGCGCGCUUGUCUGGGGGGCAAGAGGUCAUGAGUUCAAGUCUCGUUACUCCGACCA